This 496-nucleotide ribosomal RNA is filed under the name uncultured bacterium. Its description in RNAcentral is "partial 16S ribosomal RNA". It matches the Rfam family "Bacterial small subunit ribosomal RNA", at positions 29 to 507 of the family's 1533-position model. The record is from RNAcentral.
AUGAACGCUGGCGGCGUGCCUAAUACAUGCAAGUCGAGCGAACAGACGAGGAGCUUGCUCCUUUGACGUUAGCGGCGGACGGGUGAGUAACACGUGGAUAACCUACCUAUAAGACUGGGAUAACUUCGGGAAACCGGAGCUAAUACCGGAUAACAUGUUGAACCGCAUGGUUCAACAGUGAAAGACGGUCUUGCUGUCACUUAUAGAUGGAUCCGCGCCGCAUUAGCUAGUUGGUAAGGUAACGGCUUACCAAGGCAACGAUGCGUAGCCGACCCGAGAGGGUGAUCGGCCACACUGGAACUGAGACACGGUCCAGACUCCUACGGGAGGCAGCAGUAGGGAAUCUUCCGCAAUGGGCGAAAGCCUGACGGAGCAACGCCGCGUGAGUGAAGAAGGUCUUCGGAUCGUAAAACUCUGUUAUUAGGGUAGAACAAAUGUGUAAGUAACUAUGCACGUCUUGACGGUACCUAAUCAGAAAGCCACGGCUAACUACGUG